AGAGUUUGAUCCUGGCUCAGAACGAACGCUGGCGGCAUGCCUAACACAUGCAAGUCGAACGAGAAAGUUUCCUUCGGGGAACUAGUAAAGUGGCGCAAGGGUGAGUAACACGUGAAUAAUCUGCCUACGAAUUCGGGAUAACUCGGCGAAAGUUGUGCUAAUACCGGAUAAGACCACACUCCUAAUGGAGCGUGGCCAAAGGAGUCUCAAACUCCGUUUGUAGAUGAGUUCGCGGACCAUUAGCUUGUUGGCGGGAUAACAGCCCACCAAGGCGACGAUGGUUAGCCGGCCUGAGAGGGCGAUCGGCCACACUGGAACUGAGACACGGUCCAGACUCCUACGGGAGGCAGCAGUGGGGAAUAUUGCGCAAUGGGCGAAAGCCUGACGCAGCAAUGCCGCGUGAGGGAUGAAGGCUUUUGGGUCGUAAACCUCUGUCGGAUGGGAAGAAUAAUGACGGUACCAUCAGAGGAAGCCCCGGCUAACUCCGUGCCAGCAGCCGCGGUAAUACGGGGGGGGCAAGCGUUGUUCGGAAUUAUUGGGCGUAAAGAGUAUGUAGGCGGCUUGAUAAGUCAAGCGUGUAAGCCCACGGCUCAACCGUGGAAUUGCGUUUGAAACUAUUAGGCUUGAGUGCAGGAGAGGAAGGCGGAAUUCCCAGUGUAGCGGUGAAAUGCAUUGAUAUUGGGAAGAACACCGGUGGCGAAGGCGGCCUUCUGGUCUGUUACUGACGCUGAGAUACGAAAGCCAGGGGAGCAAAGGGG
Molecule: ribosomal RNA, 758 nt
Filed under: uncultured bacterium
Lineage: Bacteria
Description: bacterial SSU rRNA
Rfam family: Bacterial small subunit ribosomal RNA
Source: RNAcentral